Molecule: long non-coding RNA, 431 nt
Filed under: Homo sapiens (human)
Lineage: Eukaryota; Metazoa; Chordata; Mammalia; Primates; Hominidae
Description: HSALNT0158589
Source: RNAcentral
AAAAGAAUUCUAGUUUUAAAUGGAGGCUACAGAGGAAAUGAAGGUACCCUAGAAUCCAUCAAUGAGAAGACUUUUUCAGCUACUAUCGUCAUUGAAACUGGCCCUUUAAAAGGACGCAGAGUUGAAGGAAUUCAAUAUGAAGACAUUUCUAAACUUGCCUGAGUUUGAAAAUUUGUUAACAAUACAUUAAAAUCUUAAAGCAUCAAAUUGGUGUUCGCCAAGGCAUUAUGAGACUCUACUGUGUUAGGGUAUAUUCUUUUGUAUAAAACAAACAGGUUUUUGAAAAUAUUACUGUAUAGUUGUUCAGCUAAACUUUGAGAAGAAUUUAAUUAUGUCUCAUGAGGUAUCAAACUAUGUAAUUUUGUCCUUGUUAUUUUUGUUUCCUUUGUAAUUUACUUGAUGAGUUUAUAUCUUCAUUAAAGAAUGUUAUU